GAGUUUCUCUGUGUGGCCCUGGCUGUCUUAGAAAUUGCCCUGUAGACCAGAGUGGUCUUGAAUCCAAAGAUCCACCUAUUUCUGAAGCCUCCCCAGUGCUGGGACUAAAGGCACUGCACAGGAGAUGGGCUGAGAGGAAAGUGUUGAAAUUAGUGGUCCAGGGCUGGAGAGAUGGCUCAGCAGUUAAGAGCACUGGCUGCUUUUCCAAAGGUCCUGAGUUCAAUUCCCAGCAACCACAUGGUGGCUCACAACCAUCUAUAAUGAGGUCUAGUGCCCUCUUCUGGCCUGCAGGAAUACGUGCAGGCAGAACACUGUAUAUAUAAUAAACAAACAAAUAAAUAAACUUUAAAAAAA
Meriones unguiculatus (Mongolian gerbil) is the source of this 354-nucleotide long non-coding RNA. RefSeq lists it as uncharacterized. NCBI's taxonomy places the organism in Eukaryota, Metazoa, Chordata, Mammalia, Rodentia, Muridae. The record is from RefSeq and is a predicted model, not a curated record. The transcript is spliced from 2 exons.